RNAcentral lists this long non-coding RNA (1203 nucleotides) under Sorghum bicolor (sorghum). RNAcentral describes it as "long non-coding RNA (SBIC_LNC003433)". The record is from RNAcentral. Lineage: Eukaryota; Viridiplantae; Streptophyta; Magnoliopsida; Poales; Poaceae.
UUCCCAGUGGUAAAAAUAUAAAUAACGAUACCUGGAAUACUUCUCGGUUAAAAUGCUGCAUCGGUAUUAAUCUGUGCGCUUGCAGAUCCCAUUCAUUAUUUAUUUAGAAGAGCAAUUGCAUAUUUUAAUACCGCGUCUCUUAUAUCAUGCUGGGGAUGACAACUUGGCUUAAGUGGUGUGAGGGAUAGGUUUGGCAUUUUUGGCACCGUUACUAGAUUUAGAGAACUUAGUCUACUUUUGGUAAUGAUAUUAAGAAUACCCAACAGCCACCACAUUACUCGAAUUGCCUCCGCUAGCCGCCUUGUGUGAUCUCUCGCCGCCGCGCUAACCCUAGAUAGGUUGUCAGCCGCUGUUAUUUUGCCUGCUUCGCAGCCCUCCUUAUAUCAUCAGGCGAAUACCUACUCCUGUUAGUCAUAGGGACGAUUCAUCCUGUGAUCGGUGUUAGAGUUUAGGGACGCUUUGCCCUAACUGCCGCCGCCGCCGCCGACGCUGUGUUGUGCCUUUUGAAAAACAUAACUUGAGAUACCUUCGGUAAAACAUACAUAACUUUUCGCUCGUUUAUCAAAAAAAUCUGAAAUUUUUAUAGCAGCUUCUUGAUAUCAUUUGGACCCGAGCCAAACUCACCUUUGGCUUGUUUGGUUUCAGCAAAAUUGCUAAAAUAAUCAGGAAAAUAAAGAAAAGAAAUUGACAAGGGUUUUGCACGCUUUUCAAAGAACUUGCUCAAUUUUUGUAGACCAUAUCUGACAUCAGUUGCGGUGCCCAUUUUUGUGGUUAUAUCUUUUGUGAUCCUUGUUUAGAGAAAAAUAUAAAAAAAAUAGUGAAAAAAUAAAAAAUCUUCAUUCCUACUAGUGCCUUUUGGGAAAAUCUAGGAAAAAUCAAGAUAAAAGAAAAAUCUGCUCUAUUGCUUGUUUGCUGAGUUUCUUCCAUCAUACUUUGUUUCAUCUUGUUGCGCUACGUCUAGACACGUCUUAGCCCGUAAUUAUGAUUUGUUCUUUGAAUACUUAUUGAACUUAGCUAACUCUGUAUUCGAAUAUUGCUAAUCCUUGCUACUUACAUUAUGCAUGUCAUAUACUUCUGUCAGCACAGGUUCAUCUUGCAACUAUUUACCCACGCUCAACAACAGAUUACUUUGCUAAUUGGUUUUACUCCUGUUUGGCUUUGGUAAGAACACUUGUAAGACGAUGGUAAGCCGCUUUCUGAUUU